GGGGGCGAAAGGACUCGACGGAGGUAGUGAGGGCUAGGUUGCAUGCCGUGGUUCUCACCGCCACGUAAAAAAGGUGGGAAACACACAACUGCCAACAACGAAUUGGCACUCGCUGCUUAAUUAAAAGCAGCCGUCUUCUCAAGCUUUGUUCUGAGACUUGAGAAAGAUGUCAUAAAUCAGAGCUAAUCUUAAGUGUAUAACCUGGCACUUAAGAGAAAUUUAAGGGUUGUAGGGUUUUAGAAAGCCUGUUGGAGGGCGAGCUAAAAUCCGAAGCUUAAAACUCCAACUAAGCAUGUAGAUGCUUAGAAGUAGCACCUUCGGACGCGGGUUCGAUUCCCGCCGCCUCCACCA
Molecule: transfer-messenger RNA, 351 nt
Filed under: Thermodesulfovibrio thiophilus
Lineage: Bacteria; Pseudomonadati; Nitrospirota; Thermodesulfovibrionia; Thermodesulfovibrionales; Thermodesulfovibrionaceae
Description: Standard tmRNA
Rfam family: transfer-messenger RNA
About the family: Bacterial tmRNA, also known as 10Sa RNA or SsrA, is named for its dual tRNA and mRNA-like properties.
Source: RNAcentral